RNAcentral lists this long non-coding RNA (897 nucleotides) under Salvia miltiorrhiza (redroot sage). RNAcentral describes it as "long non-coding RNA (SMIL_LNC000668)". Lineage: Eukaryota; Viridiplantae; Streptophyta; Magnoliopsida; Lamiales; Lamiaceae. The record is from RNAcentral.
UUUGUAACAAUAUGAUCAUCCGUUGAAUGUUGAUUGUCAAUGGAGUUUUGAGAUAUUAUUGCAUUGGGCAUUGUUGAGGAGACUUCAGGAGGGGAGAAUGCCAUUAUCAACUGAAAGAGUUAACCUUAUUAGAUUGAUUUAGAGCAAUUGACACAUUUAUAUGUUCUAAAUGAAGUUAAGGACUGCACACAACCAACAACAGCAAUGAAGUUCAGCAGACAGCAACAAAUAAUGCUAACUUCAAAACACAAACAAUCACUAACAUAUGCUUUCUGUCACAAAAGCUGUAGUGCAUAAUAAUACAGAAUUAGCUAUAGACUAUAGUGUAGAAUUAGCAGAAUUAGCUAUAAUGCUAACUUCAAAACACAAACAACAAUCACUAACAAUCACUAACAUAUGCUUUCUGUCACAUCACAAUUUGUAUCACAAACUAUAGUGCAGAGUUAUAAACAAACACCAAAAUCAACAAACAACCAGAAUUAGCAGCAAAAAAAAACAGAAACUAAGAUUUCUAUCUAUUGGACAUGAAUCCAACAAAAAACAGAAACCACAACCAAAAUUUAGAAAAUAGAACCUGCUGCAACUGUCGCGUCGAGGAGGGCAGAGCCGUCGCGGCGUCGCUGCUGCUGUUGCGGUGGGCUGGGAGAUGGCAGUCGGAGGAGCAAGCUCGGUCCAGAUGAGCAGCGUGAACAGAGAUGACAGUGGGCGACGGUAGAAAGGUGUCUGGUGGCGAGAAGAAACGGCAGGAAUGGUGGAUGGAGGUCGCUGCACUACUGCUGCUGUUAAGCUGUCCGGACCUUCGCCGGAAAGGCCGAGCCGCCGUCGCGUCGAGUGCCGGAGUGCGUGUCACCGGAGAGAUGAGAGAUUGGGGGUGGGCGGCGCCAGCAGCCGAGAGAG